RNAcentral lists this long non-coding RNA (1387 nucleotides) under Gallus gallus (chicken). The record is from RNAcentral. Lineage: Eukaryota; Metazoa; Chordata; Aves; Galliformes; Phasianidae.
GGGAAACCAAAAGCUGUGGUGAGAGCAGCUGGGGUGAUUUUCUGGUGAAAGAACAUUGUGGAGCAGAGGGAUCACCACUCAAUGUGCUACCUGGAAGGGGUAAAGAAGAAAGGUUCAAGAGAAGGAUAGGUCUAAUUAUUAGUAGUGAUUUUAAUAAUAGCUCGUCAAUCACUGAUUGUCCAUAGUUUAGGAAGAAAAGAAGUCACCAGGCUUUGAAGUCAGUCCAUCUGUCCGUGCUUUUGAAACGGGAAUUGGGAGUGCAGGUUCUCCAGUGUACACGUGAGGAACAGAGUUUGUCUCAAAAGCCAUUCUGCAAAAACGAGAAGCAGAAAAGCUGUCCAGACCUUCUUUCCAGUCAGGGAAGCACCCAGCAUUGCCUUACUGAUGGACAGAGGCCUACCACAUAUCCGCAUGCGCUCAUGAGGGGUAGGGCUAGAGAGCCAGGUUUUCUUUCAUGUGACUAUAGAUGUCACUUGCUGUAAGCUGUCCUCUUUCUCAAGUGGGACGAUUGAUGAGUUAAUGAAUAGGAGAGAGGUUAAUUGGCCGUUCCUUUCUCCAGAUCCAAAGGCAUGUUCGUGACAGGACAGGGCACAACAUCCUCCAGAACGAAACGAAUGCAAAGGCCUUUGGCUUCCUGCUAAGAUUUCAGUACCUGUACAAAGCUGAUCGGUAGGCGCCUGAAAAUAUAAUGGGAAAUUCUUUGCAUGGAAUGUACGGCAUGAUAUUGUCAGAGGGCAUAAGAAUCUUGCUGCUGAGGGGGUCAGUGGAUCAGUCCUCAUCUGAAAUGGACUGAUGAGCGAGAAAUGAACGUAACCAAGGGAAAGAACGAUGGCUGACCCGAGUCUAAGAACUGGAGUUCUAAAAAUCCUAAGAAAAACAAAGGAAUACACUGAACCAGUGAAUGUGGGUAGUGAAGUCUGUGAGGAGCUGGUAUUUUGAGGAGUAUUUGGACAGCCAAUCUGCUACACGCAGCAGUACACUUGUGUGUUAGGGAUUAGUGCGAGGAGUGGUGGUGUCAUCUCUCAUCCAGCAGAGAGGAUGAGCUCAGUUUUGUACACCCUUUCGAUGUGCGCAGACGCUCCGGUGUGUUCAUUUCCUCGCUAGGUUAGAACCAAUUGAAAGCAUGUUUGUGUUCGUUUAAAUCACCUUCAGGCACGGUGAAGAAUAUCCCUUGCUUGACAAUCACACCGUAUUCACUUCCUUGCCUCUGGGCAGUACGUAUACCAGCGGUGGAGAACUAUUUUCUGUGGAGUAUUCAAUGUUAAUUUAUUGUUUUACUUGAUGACAAAGGCGUGUAAGCCCUGCUAGCGGCGCCGGGGGGGCGGCCUCUUGCAGGGCUGUGGAGCACCCAGGGCACUGCUGGCCCUCCUCUUCGUGGGCCGACGGG